Molecule: transfer RNA, 65 nt
Filed under: Metaphire sieboldi (earthworm)
Lineage: Eukaryota; Metazoa; Annelida; Clitellata; Crassiclitellata; Megascolecidae
Description: tRNA-Gly
Source: RNAcentral
GUGUUUUUAGUAUAAUAGAGUACACUUACCUUCCAAGUAAAAAGAUUAAAUAAUUAAAAAACAUA